GCUACUCUUUCACUGCCUUUAGU
This 23-nucleotide non-coding RNA is filed under the name Rattus norvegicus (Norway rat). Lineage: Eukaryota; Metazoa; Chordata; Mammalia; Rodentia; Muridae. The record is from RNAcentral.